Aotus nancymaae (Ma's night monkey) is the source of this 105-nucleotide small nuclear RNA. The record is from Ensembl. NCBI's taxonomy places the organism in Eukaryota, Metazoa, Chordata, Mammalia, Primates, Aotidae.
GUGCUUGCUUCAGCAACACAUAUACUAAAAUUGAAAUGAUACAGAGAAUAUUAGCAUGGCCUGCAUAGGGAUGACAUGGAAAUUUGUGAAGCAUUCCAUGGGAAA